UACAUUUUGAUCAGAUACCGCAUACGCCGAUAGUCAGAAGUCAAUUUAAUUACAUGAUGAGACCAUUGAUUAAAAGAUAUUGAAGCUAAAGUAAAGUUCUCUUUAAUUUUGUUGAAAACCUGUUUAUGAUUAUUAUUAUGUAUUUAUAUUAUUUAUGUAUUUAUAUUAUUUAUUUAUUUUUAUUUUUAUUUUCCAGCUAGUUUUAUCUUUAUAGUAGCUUUUGUUAACAGUAAUAAUAACCUUGCUGUGCAUUCAUAUUUCACAGUUGAAUUAAUCAAGCAGGUGAUCCUAAUAUGCUUUAUAUAUAUUUAUAUAUUUAAAGUGGCAGACAAGUGUGUGCUUGGAAUAAACAGAUGAUAUUGUCCGCUGGUAUGGACGCUAAUAUAAUUAUCUUUAUAGCUAUUUUUCUUGGUGUGAAGAGGCCUUUAAGCUUUGUUCAGUAUGGCGCAAUUACAAACUGCUCUCAGGCCGGAAUUCUACUGAGCUGGUAAAAUGCGUGUAGUGAUGACCCCACUCAGGAUUGCUCACUUGUUUGUUGUCUGGUUACUAGUUUCUGUCUGUUGCUUGCCAAGCACAAUAUUUGAGUGAAGUAAAAUAUAUGAUCAUCCUCCAUAAUGCGUCACUAUUUUCAUCUCAUACUGUAUGUAAACACUUGCGUUACCAAGUUGUAUGUACAGUUGUAUGUAUUAUUAGGAUACAGAUGUAUACUUAUUGUUCCUAUGUCUGUGUUUGUUCAGACAAAGCUCCAGUGGCUGUGUGAGGAGGUGCGUGAGCGGAAGUUCAGAGAGAAGAGGUUGAGGAGAACACUGCAGCAGCACAAGUGGCAGAUAAAAGCACUGAAGCAAACCAAAGACUCAAAAAUGCAGAGCCUCCUGAACCACAUUACCUUGCAGGAUUGGCUUAUCAAAGACAUCCAAUCAGAGAAGAGAGUGGUGACUAAAAUGGUCUGCGUACAACAGCACAGAUGCAAGGUAAAUGUUGAGACAGAAAACACAGAAAAGGAAUUACGCUUGGGCCUUUAUCCCCACAGCAGCCGAGAACUCUGAAUUGCUUCCUCUUGAGCAGCAGCUGAAACAUCAAGCUCUUCUGUCUUCUAUAUCUGAUAGAAUUCUUGCUUAUACAGGUCUUGCUUCACCCUGGUAAUAGAAACAGGAUCAGGAAAGAUUGCAGUCACUGACCUUAUUCUAAAAAUUUACUGGCGCUCCAAUAGAUGUCUUUGACAACACUAGCCAGAUCUCUCCCUUAGUUUGACUUGUUUCUGGAAAAAAAUAAAUAAGAAAAUGAAACUGCUUAAAUACCAUUAAAGACCAUUCCUGUUUUCAAGCAGAGGUAAUAGUAAGUCACACAUGUGCAAGUCACAAGUAAGUCUCAAUUCUUAACCUUCAAGUCUCAAGCAAGUCCAAGUCAUUUUUUUUGUGAGAAUCUAGCAAGUCAAGUCAAGUCACUGCUUAUGUCAAGCAAUUCAAGUCAAGGCAUAGCUUGAGUCAAGCAAGUCACUGUCAAGUCAUACAAAUGUUUGAUGAUUUAACUGAAGUUAUAUAUUAAAAUAAGUUAAAACUACAGUAGUUAUGGACUAUGGGAGUUUUAUUUGCAACAACAACAACAAAAAGCAAUAUGCAUUUUUACUCAAAAGAUACAGCAUACAGCUCAGUUUUUAAAACAAUAAAAAUCUAUAAAUAAAAAUUACUAAACAUUCAAACUACAUAGACUAAAAUGUAAAUGUAAUUAAAAUUAGUCCAACAUAAAAACAUGAAAAGUAUUUAAGUACAGCUGUUUCAAUAUGCCUCAAACAUUGCAGAAGACCAUUAAACAAUCCAAGUAUAAUGGUUUCUAUGACAACAAAUGGCAUUCUUCAAACAGGCAUCACCUUUAUGGGACAUGAACACAUCCUUAAAGGCACAAUAUGUAAGAUUGUUUUAAAAAAAAAAAAUUAAAAUAUCCAAAAACCACUAGAACAGUGUUAUAUAUUUUGUUGACUUAUUAUGACUGUAUACUUAUACUGUAUACUGUUGACUGUAUACUUAUUAUCCCAAAUGUUUUGAAGAAUGUUUAAAUCCAGAGAAAUAAGCAAUUUUAACUAGUGACACGGACCGUGUCCUUAGUGUCAUUGUGUCACCUGCCAAUGAAGUCAUAUGAAGUCGACUAGAUUUCCGGUUUUGUUUUGUAGAAAACAUGGAAAUCCCAAAGAUGCUUUAAUAUAUUAUGUGUUUUAUUAGACAGAUGACGACUGCACAGAAUAGCAUUAUAACAUACUGCGUUAUAUGAGUACUGCAUCUGGUUAAAGACGUUAUGGGACAAACUAAUUUUUUCUCCUGAACUGAAGCCCUAUUCAGUCACGCAGUGAAACUGCAUGGCUAUCGGUGCUGCACAAACCUAUGACUGCAAAGCCCACCAAUGACCGCCAGAAUGGGCGGGGCCUCUGGCUAUAUAAGCGCCUGCUUCGGCAUAGGAUUUAGGUUACUUCGACUGAAGCGAUGACGAGUCGUGCAUCCUUUUUAGAAGCAGAGCAGUCUUUAGCGACAGGGCCUUUAGGCUGAUAGAUUGUAGCGGCUCAAAAGGUGAAACCUUUAAGGCCCUUAGUACAGUAGGAAGGUCCUGUGAAGGAACACUGAGGGGGCAUGGUGGAUUAAGCUUUCUGGCCCCUCUCAUAAAACACACAACAAGGUCUUUUUUCCCUACUGACUGGCCUGCUAUAGGGGCGUGUGACGCUGCUAUAGUCACUACAUAGACUUUGAGCGUAGAGGGGAAUUGACCCUUAUCCAACAGAUCUUGCAGGAAUGACAUUAUCACUGAUACGUCACAGACCGACGAGUCUUCACCAUUGUUCGAGCUACAAGCGGAGAACACCGACCAUUUGGAGGCGUAGAGGCAUCUUGUAGACGGGGCUCUAGCAUAAGAAAUAGUAUUUAGUAUGCACUCCGGAAGGCUUGCAGGCUCCCAUCGAGUGGCCAAAUAUGAAGGGCCCACAGAUCUGGAUGUGGAUGCCAGUUCCGCACACCUGAGAAAAGAGGUUCCGUCUCAAGGGGAUGGGCCAUGGGGCCACUAUCAGCAUUUGUGACAGUUCGGCCAACCAAUGCUGGUUCUCCCAAAGUGGGGCUAUCAAUAGAACUCUGAGUCCCUGGUCCCUGAUCUGCCUGAUUACCCUGGGAAUCAGAGCGAUCGGGGGAAAAGCAUAAAGGAGGAGGUCGGGCCAGUCAAGGGUUAACGCAUCCUCAUGCUUGGAGAAAUAUGUUGGGCAAUGAGAGUUGUUUUCAGAGGCAAAGAGGUCUACUUCCGCUUUGUGAAAAAUCUCCCAUAUUGUCUGAACUGUUUGUGGCUGAAGCAUCCACUCCUCUGAGGGAAUUCAGCUUCUUGAAAGCAUAUCCGCACCUUGGUUCAGUUUGGCUGGCCACUGCACUGCUGUCAGGGAGCGCAGAUUGUGCUGAGCUCAUACUAGCAGGUGAGACGUUAGCCUGCAAAGGUGCGUCGACAAUAGCCCGCCUUGAUGGUUCACAUACGACACCACCGUCAUGCUCUCCAAUUGGACUAGCACGUAAUGUCCCCUCAGGUCUGGCAGGCUCGGUGAACUGCAAGCAUUUCUAGGCAGUUGAUGUGAAGCCUGCUCUCCACGGGUUUCCCCUCGCUCAGAGCACCCUAACCCGUGUUGGAUGGGUCUGUCAAGAUUACCUUCCUUCUGCAAACAAUACAGAGUGGGAUGCCCCGUUCAAUUCAAAGCACACUCCUCCAAGGGGUCAGGGCUGAGGCGCAGGCCUGGCUCUCCUUGAUGCAUAGGCGCCCGUGGCAUGAGGCGGAACUCGUGGUUUCAACCAGUACUGAAGGGGGCAUAUGUGGAGCAGACCCAGCACUAGUACUGGUGAUGCUGCUGCCAUAAGAUCCAGCAGCUUUUGGAACAUCUUAGCGAGAGACACCAAUCUUGAAAGAGGCCAUGAGUCAUUGUAGAGCCGCGGUGCGCUCCUUCACCAUUGUUGCCCUUAUUGCCACAGAGUUGAGCGCUGUUCCCAGAAACGAAACUCGUUGGCUGGGAGACAGCAAGCUUUUGGGAAAAUUCACCCUGAGCCCUAGGCAUUCUAAAUGGCUGAGGAGCAGGGUUUUGUGAUGCAAGGCCUCUGGCUCUGACUGGGCUAGAAUGAGCCAGUCAUCGAGAUAAUUGAGAAUGCGGAUUUCCUUCUGCCUGAGAGGGGAGAGAGCAGCGUCCAUGCAGUUUUUAACAUGCAAGGGCCAAGGAUAGCCCGAAAGGGAGGACCCUGUAUUGGUAAGCCACACCCUCGAAGGCGAAUCUCAAGAACGGCCUGUGAUGGGGGGCUAUCUGGAUGUGAAAGUAAGCAUCUUUCAGAUCCAGAGAAAAGAACCAGUCCACUAAGCGUAUUUGACAUCUUAGAUCGAGGAUGGGUGAAAGGCCGCCAUCCUUUUUUUGGGGACGAGGAGGUAACAACUGUAAAAGUCGCGUUGGGCUGCGGGAACAAUCUCUAUGGCUCCUAUCACCAGCAGAUUCGUUACUUCGGCACGCAAAACGCAGGGGGUCUUUGUGCGAACUGGAGGAAAUAGCCAUGUGUUAUUAUCCCCAUAACCCAUUCUGACACUCCGGGAAUGGCUUGCCAUUGUCUGACCCGGAUGGACAGAGGUUGGAUUGGUUCGAAUGCUUGGUCGCUGCAUGGAGACACAGUACUCGUGAGUGAUGUGAGAGGAAAACUGCUCUUUUUGCGAAAAGGUGUGUGUUUUAUUUCUCGCACUAUCACAGCGCUUUGCUGUUUGGGUGCUAGAAUGGGCUCAGCAUUUACACAAAACACAGCUCUGUCAGCACCUGGAACUGAACAAGGUGGACGGCAAUACACACGGGGGUUUUUCCUCAGCGCCGUCGAGCGAGGUGAGGGCUGAAGAGGAAGAAGUGCAGAGGCGCACUGAGUAGGGAGUGUGCCAUGACUUGGUCAGCUCGUCAUGGACCUCCAGCAAGAAGGGGAACCAGCAGGGACCACUCAUCCAGACGGCUGCAGGAUGGUUCCUCGGGAGGAGACCCGGGCAUUUGCAUCAACACUGGAAAUUUACUCAGAAAUGUGCUCUUCGUCUCGCCGGAUGGCAGCAGGAGAAGCGAUGUUCUGCAGCGGGAAACCGGCAGUCGCGUUCCGCUUGCGAGGCAUGUCAACGGCGAGCAGGCAGUUCAGUGAGGCAGUUCUGAAAGAGAAGACAUCUGAAUCUUAUGGCGAAGCGGUAUGGAGUCAAAAUAAUGCCGUAUAUAAACGCAAAAAAAAUAAAAUAAAGUUUUGCAAAAGAAAAUAAAGUUUUGCAAACGAAAAUUAAAGUAUUGAGGAAAAUAAUUUUGCUUUUUGCAAACAAAAAUAAAGAAUUGCAAAACAUAAAUGAAACUGCGCGAAAGCAAUGAUUUUGCAAUACAUAUUUUCCAUGGUCAUAUCUAUUAAUUUAUUUGCAACACUGAUUUUAUUUUGCGUGUCAGUCUAGUGUGAGCUUGCGAUGCUGUUUUUCCUUUGCGCUUCAUUUUUC
Long non-coding RNA from Cyprinus carpio carpio, 5496 nucleotides. NCBI's taxonomy places the organism in Eukaryota, Metazoa, Chordata, Actinopteri, Cypriniformes, Cyprinidae. The record is from Ensembl.